GAACCGUUUUAGCACCGGAACCGUUUAAAAGGUACAGAGAAGGCACCGGUAUUGAUAAAACCCAAACGAUACCCAAUCCUAUUCAUAUCCAGAGUGCACUGCAGCGCUAGACCCUCUGAGCAAGAGGUAACAUCAGAACUACGCAUGUCUAAGCAUUAUGCAUUACAGGCAAUAUAUGUUGUCACAAACCUAUGAUCACAUUACAUCAGUACAUUAAAUGCACAAUGCAAUAUAAAAGAAGAACUGGUGGUCACAUUUAGUUUUCUCUUGUGGCUCUUCCUAUGCAGGAACCCAAAGCAGUGUUGUAUCAUAUGCGAAAUUCACUAUGGUGUUGGUAGUGUGAGAUGGAGCGCAGUCAUGUACAGAGAGUAGAGCAAAGGGCUCAGCAUGCAACCCUGUGGGGCCUCUGUGCUGAGUGUCAGAGUGGGGGAAAGGGGCGGGCCCAUUCUGACCGCCUGUGGCCUGUUUGUCAAGUGACAAGUGACUAUUACAGUGAUAAUGCAAUUCCCUGUAUAUAAAUUAAUAUAACUGUUCUCUCCAGCAGAUCAAGGAUGUAGCCAUUUCACUAACAAACAGUGUCACAAUUCGACAUAGGUGGAAGGUGUGAAGAUUGUGCUGACAGAGCCGCUUCUGGGUCCUAUCUUUAUUCCAAAGUUAUUAAAAGGACACAAGACCAGGUAAGUUUCAGCAAAUGGCUUCUCAUAUUCUAAAGAAAGGUGUCAUAUAAUGUCGAUUUAAGUCUUAGAUUUGACUAAAAGUAUUUUAUGGGGAACGUGUUUAAAAUGUGUGGAAAGUGUUGGAAAGAAAAUGUCAUUCAAAUGGUAAAAAAAUCACCGAUACAUUUUCUUGUUUUUUACAGGUUCUUCUUCAGUGGCUUCCCUGCAAGACAUGUGGUAUAAAGUGGAAGAACACCUGGGAGCCCCUCUCUUACGUUGCUGCUCCUGGGUCAGCAACUGAGCAUUCCAGGAUCUCUGCAGGAGCAGAUUGAGCGGAAGGAGGGAUAAUUUGACACGAUAUGUUGUAAAAAUGUUUAACUGGCCUCAUCGCAUAAUAAAAUCUAUAAAAACAAACUGUUCAAAAUGUUGUGUUGAGCUUGUGAUCUUGUUGCAAUCUGUAAUGUCUCAGCAAAAGUGUGGUGAUAGUUUUACAUAGCCUAUUUAAUGUUUGAGAGUACACAGGUGUGCUGUAUUGAGUGGCUCAUGUUUAGUACCAAAUUUGUUAAGAGGGAAGUUAUCACCGAACCCUUCAGAAGAGCCAACUGCAUUCAAACCCUAUGUGAAUCUUAUUCUCAGGCCUAAUGAAGUGCUCCAACACUGUUGAAAUUGCAUACUGCUGAAUUGUAUGAUCAAUAGAGAAUUGAAUAAAACCCUUACAGUGCAAUUAGCUAAUUAGGCUUUCUAGAAUGAAGAUGUAAUGUCAAUGUAGACACGCAUGUUGUCGCUAUUCCGUCAGGACAGUUAAAAGCCAAGGAGUACUUCCUGUGCCACAUGAGAGCGGGCUGAGUAAAACCCAUAAAGGCUAGCCGACUAUUUUUAUAUACUUUAUAUAAAAACAAACUAUAUCGUUUUGAUCUGCUGAAAAUUGGGUUACAUUGCAGUUUUGCCAGCGCACUAAAUAACUUUUCAUGACGGCCUACCUACGUCCUGUUUAUCACCUACACGGGCUGCAUUGCGUCACCCUAUACUGGACACUGGGGUACACUACAGACAUAAAUAGGAAGCACACUCAGGAGGAGGAAUGACCUCACACAUGUGAUACUUAAUUAAUUGUUUCAAAUAACCCUGCCUCGUUAAAUCAAUGAGCUUUGUGUUUUGCU
This is a long non-coding RNA of Gadus chalcogrammus (walleye pollock), 1816 nucleotides long. RefSeq lists it as uncharacterized. NCBI's taxonomy places the organism in Eukaryota, Metazoa, Chordata, Actinopteri, Gadiformes, Gadidae. The transcript has 3 exons. The record is from RefSeq and is a predicted model, not a curated record.